This is a long non-coding RNA of Haliotis rubra (blacklip abalone), 235 nucleotides long. RefSeq lists it as uncharacterized. The record is from RefSeq and is a predicted model, not a curated record. The transcript is spliced from 3 exons. NCBI's taxonomy places the organism in Eukaryota, Metazoa, Mollusca, Gastropoda, Lepetellida, Haliotidae.
AAUCCCAACUGUUUCCUGGUUCCACGAGAAUAGAAAGCUGAGCAACAGCGACAGUUUGACCAUCUCAGAUGGCUCAAUUACAAUUAAACAGGUGUCUAAGAAAGACAUAGGUAUAUAUAGCUGUUCCGGAAAUAACAAUGAUGGAGAAGAGUCUGCAACUAUGAAUUUGAAUGUCAUAGAUCCAAAUAAAGUACCACCUUCGACCAGAGGUCACCGGGAAACAAAGCUGACAACA